GACGAACGCUGGCGGCGUGCUUAACACAUGCAAGUCGAACGGAAAGGCCCUGCUUUUGUGGGGUGCUCGAGUGGCGAACGGGUGAGUAACACGUGAGUAACCUGCCCUUGACUUUGGGAUAACUUCAGGAAACUGGGGCUAAUACCGGAUAGGAGCUCCUGCUGCAUGGUGGGGGUUGGAAAGUUUCGGCGGUUGGGGAUGGACUCGCGGCUUAUCAGCUUGUUGGUGGGGUAGUGGCUUACCAAGGCUUUGACGGGUAGCCGGCCUGAGAGGGUGACCGGCCACAUUGGGACUGAGAUACGGCCCAGACUCCUACGGGAGGCAGCAGUGGGGAAUAUUGCAUAAUGGGCGGAAGCCUGAUGCAGCAACGCCGCGUGCGGGAUGACGGCCUUCGGGCUGUAAACCGCUUUCGCCUGUGACGAAGCGUGAGUGACGGUAAUGGGUAAAGAAGCACCGGCUAACUACGUG
RNAcentral lists this ribosomal RNA (468 nucleotides) under uncultured bacterium. RNAcentral's name for it is "partial 16S ribosomal RNA". It matches the Rfam family "Bacterial small subunit ribosomal RNA", at positions 28 to 507 of the family's 1533-position model. The record is from RNAcentral.